RNAcentral lists this ribosomal RNA (301 nucleotides) under uncultured bacterium. RNAcentral describes it as "partial 16S ribosomal RNA". It matches the Rfam family "Bacterial small subunit ribosomal RNA", at positions 509 to 807 of the family's 1533-position model. The record is from RNAcentral.
CAGCCGCCGCGGUAAUACAGAGGGUGCGAGCGUUAAUCGGAUUUACUGGGCGUAAAGCGUGCGCAGGCGGUUAUAUAAGACAGAUGUGAAAUCCCCGGGCUCAACCUGGGAACUGCAUUUGUGACUGUAUAGCUAGAGUACGGCAGAGGGGGAUGGAAUUCCGCGUGUAGCAGUGAAAUGCGUAGAUAUGCGGAGGAACACCGAUGGCGAAGGCAAUCCCCUGGGCCUGUACUGACGCUCAUGCACGAAAGCGUGGGGAGCAAACAGGAUUAGAUACCCGUGUAGUCCCUGUCUCUUAUAC